UUACGGCCACAUCACGUUGAAACACCGGUUACCGUACGAUCAUCGAAGUUAAGCAACGUCGAUCCUGCCCACUACCUAGAUUGGUGACCUCUUGCGAAUACCAGAUUUUGUAA
Molecule: non-coding RNA, 113 nt
Organism: Acanthosepion pharaonis
Lineage: Eukaryota; Metazoa; Mollusca; Cephalopoda; Sepiida; Sepiidae
Source: the annotation of a GenBank genome assembly